This 766-nucleotide long non-coding RNA is filed under the name Oryctolagus cuniculus (rabbit). Its description in RNAcentral is "lncRNA (ENSOCUG00000033137.1)". Lineage: Eukaryota; Metazoa; Chordata; Mammalia; Lagomorpha; Leporidae. The record is from RNAcentral.
AUGGAUGAGGAAUCUGACACUCAAAUACGUGGGUCAGAGAGAGUGACCAAUGAGGUCUCACGGGUUGGUCUUAGGGGUAGAAUCUUGGGGGAGGAGAAGCUCCAUGACUGUUGGGCUGCUGAGACAGUUGGUGCCCACGGCGCCAUCUUGAAGGGAGUAGGCACAGCCAGGAGGUCGGGGCAGGCGACUCCUGGGGACAUCGUCCAGCACCCAGGCAUGCCAGAGAUCUUUCCAGAAUGCGCAGAGAGCACAGUGUGGAACAGGAUGUGUCCGUCUUCCCUUCCUCACUUGCCUUGGCUCCCAGCUCGUGGGCUCUCUCCUCUGCAUCCUGGCUCCGUGGCUGCUAUAGGAAGAACCAAGCUGGAGGAAGUCGGCGGCUCCAUUCCCAAAGGCACAGAGGCCACGGGCCCAGGAGGAUGGAGACCCCGGCCUGCUCCACUCGCUGCUGGGCCCUGGUGUUUGGAUCUGGCUGGCAGCAGCAGGGCCUCCGUGAGCAAGGGCGGCAGACCACAAAGACCACAUCUCAGGUGGAGCCAGCAGCAUCCAGACCCACCCGGCCGCACCUUGAAGGGGAGUGUUUUCCUGGACCAUUUGGAAGAGGUCCUCGUGGACGCCUGGUAUUUGGUUCACUACUGGCUCUCUGCAAUCGAGUUUCUGUCUUGUAUCUGUUUUGCCCAUCUUUUCCUAUGUUCUUUUUGCUAGUUUUUACUUAUUCUGCUUUAGUGUACAUUGUAAUAAACUGAUGGAUUCAGGACCUGUUACCUCA